UUGUGAGGUAGAGGCGCGAUAUUUAUUAGUAAGUAGCGGAGUACGAGAAUACAAAGAUGCUACUUAGAAGGAGAUGUCGCCGAAGUGUAUGGUGGGUUCUCAACAUCAUAUGCUGGGUCUGCAAUUAAUAGUUGCAGGACUGUCUUACUUUUUUUACCCGAAUAAAGUAAGUUGAGCUAUCUCAAUU
RNAcentral lists this non-coding RNA (187 nucleotides) under Kurthia sp. 11kri321. Its description in RNAcentral is "Lysine riboswitch aptamer". It matches the Rfam family "Lysine riboswitch aptamer". Rfam says of the family: Riboswitches are metabolite binding domains within certain messenger RNAs that serve as precision sensors for their corresponding targets. Allosteric rearrangement of mRNA structure is mediated by ligand binding, and this results in modulation of gene expression. Lineage: Bacteria; Bacillati; Bacillota; Bacilli; Caryophanales; Caryophanaceae. RNAcentral also lists the same sequence under 1 other name. The record is from Rfam by way of RNAcentral.